GGAGGUGUCGCAUAGUGGCAAUUGCAACUGGCUGUAACCCAGUCCUCUUAUGAGUUCGGUGGUUCGAGUCCGCCCACCUCCA
This 82-nucleotide transfer RNA is filed under the name Bacteroides sp. CAG:633. It matches the Rfam family "tRNA". Rfam says of the family: Transfer RNA (tRNA) molecules are approximately 80 nucleotides in length. Their secondary structure includes four short double-helical elements and three loops (D, anti-codon, and T loops). Lineage: Bacteria; Pseudomonadati; Bacteroidota; Bacteroidia; Bacteroidales; Bacteroidaceae. RNAcentral also lists the same sequence under 1 other name. The record is from Rfam by way of RNAcentral.